This 75-nucleotide transfer RNA is filed under the name Acidobacteriota bacterium. RNAcentral's name for it is "tRNA-Leu". It matches the Rfam family "tRNA". From Rfam's summary of the family: Transfer RNA (tRNA) molecules are approximately 80 nucleotides in length. Their secondary structure includes four short double-helical elements and three loops (D, anti-codon, and T loops). Lineage: Bacteria; Pseudomonadati; Acidobacteriota. The record is from RNAcentral.
GCUCGCGUAGCCCAAACGGGAGAGGCGACGGUUUCAAAAACCGCUUAUGUGCAAGUUCAAAUCUUGCCGCGAGUA